CCUACGGGGGGCAGCAGUGGGGAAUAUUGGACAAUGGGGGGAACCCUGAUCCAGCCAUGCCGCGUGUGUGAAGAAGGCCCUCGGGUUGUAAAGCACUUUCAGUGAGGAAGAACGCCUGGUGGUUAAUACCCAUCAGGAAAGACAUCACUCACAGAAGAAGCACCGGCUAACUCCGUGCCAGCAGCCGCGGUAAUACGGAGGGUGCGAGCGUUACUCGGAAUUACUGGGCGUAAAGCGCGCGUAGGUGGCUUGAUAAGCCGGUUGUGAAAGCCCCGGGCUCAACCUGGGAACGGCAUCCGGAACUGUCAAGCUAGAGUGCAGGAGAGGAAGGUAGAAUUCCCGGUGUAGCGGUGAAAUGCGUAGAGAUCGGGAGGAAUACCAGUGGCGAAGGCGGCCUUCUGGACUGACACUGACACUGAGGUGCGAAAGCGUGGGUAGCAAACAGGAUUAGAUACCCGAGUAGUC
This 465-nucleotide ribosomal RNA is filed under the name Vreelandella stevensii. RNAcentral describes it as "partial 16S ribosomal RNA". It matches the Rfam family "Bacterial small subunit ribosomal RNA", at positions 338 to 795 of the family's 1533-position model. The record is from RNAcentral. Lineage: Bacteria; Pseudomonadati; Pseudomonadota; Gammaproteobacteria; Oceanospirillales; Halomonadaceae.